RNAcentral lists this long non-coding RNA (1847 nucleotides) under Mus pahari (shrew mouse). Its description in RNAcentral is "lncRNA (MGP_PahariEiJ_G0002649.1)". Lineage: Eukaryota; Metazoa; Chordata; Mammalia; Rodentia; Muridae. The record is from RNAcentral.
GCGCUGGUCGAAGUCCUGGCCGUGGAUGAUCCGCAUCUGCUUCAGGAAGGUGGACUUGCCGCUCUCGCCCGCGCCCAGCAGCAGGAUCUUCACCAGCCGCUUCACCCUCCAUAAAGACAUCCCUGAGCUGCCACUGACCAGCUGAAACCUCAGCUCAUCCUCAGUCAGAGGUUCAGAGACACGCAUCGGUGACCCCAGACACACCUUGCUCUGAAGCGUCAGACCCAUUACAGGCUGUUGGUUUAUACAGCACUACACGAAGCCCUGCCCGCACACACACAUUCCUUGAUGUGCAUGCAGAGGCCAGAGCAGGAUGUUGAGGCAAGGUCUCUCAUUGAAGCAGAUGUUCCCCAUUUCAGGGACAGCAUCAGGAGAUGGCUAGAGUGGAGCCUCUGAGCCAUGACCAACUGGAAGCCUCUCUUGCCUGGAGUGAGAGGUACUGCGGGCUGGGAGGAUGCCCCUUUCCCAGAGGCCAGACUAGACUUCACCAUCUUCCAAGUUCCCAGGCUCUCAGGGUGGAUCUCAGCCCAGUUACUCCAUCUCAGUCAUUCACUAGCUGGUCCUCAGCUUGGAGCUGUUCGUACCCUUCCCACGGGAGCCCGGGGAGUCUCUGGUUAUCCCCACCCUUCCCAAGGCCACCCUGGGCAGGGAGCCAAAAAAUCAAUUUAUGGAAAAAAAAAAGCAGAGGCUGAAUAUAAAUUAUUUUUUAACUCACCUCCAGUUAUCUGAUCACCCGGGACGUCUGCUCAGUGAAGAAAUCCUAAGAGUUAAACACACUUCAAGAAGAGAUGGCUUCACGGCUUUGCGGGUGUGGGGGUGGGGUGGGGUGCAGCCAGAGGUAGGGUGUGAACCCGGAGGACUCCCUCCUCUGCUGAGCCACAGGUGUAGUAGUGAGAAUAGGAGAUGGCUGGGGAUGCACAGCUCAGUGACAGAGUACAUGCCUAGCAUGUGGCAGACCCUGGGUGUGAUUCCCCAGCAAAGGGACAGGUCAAGAGGUGGGGCUCUAAGAGCAAAGUACUUAAGAAUUUAGAAAGAAUAACAAAUACUGUCCUGGCUUUCUAAGAAGUGAGUGGAUCACGGGACUCCCAACUCAUUUGUUUUAAACAGUCGAGGAGCUGGGGUUGGGGAAGGCUUUCAGCCCCUCCCGGGACAGACAGAUAUCAGGGUUAAUUUGCCAGGGGAAACACAGCAAGUUCCCAAGGGAAGGCUAAAACCAAGCACCUUCAACUUGUUUCCAGAAAGAUUUGUUUCUCUAUGCCCUAUGGAGAAUGAUGAAAUCUCAGUCAAUAGGGAACUUUGUUAAUAACCAGGAACUAUGUGAUGUUUCUGAAAAGCUUUCCUGCGAGAGCCUAGUGUGAUCUUCUCAGAAAAUAAUAACACGUCCUUACAGAGAAGUUUCUAUUCACAAAUUGCUCUCUUGGUUAAUCUUUUUUUUCUUUUCAGCGGUUCCAGCCACUGUGUUUGUGUGUGUGUGUGUGUGUAUGUACAUGUGUGUGUUGCUUUUUAUAUAUAGUAUAUAAUAUAUAUUAUGUUAUGUAUGUUAUUAUAACAUUUAUUUAACCUAUAUAUUGUUUUUUAAAAGAUAUUUACUUGUUUUUACUUAUACAUGCAUGUGUUGCUUUAAUAUAUAUUAUAUGUUAUGUAUAGUAUAACAUUUAUUUAACAUAUAUUGUUUAUUUUCUAAAUAUUUACUUAUUGCUUUUGCGUGUGUGUGUGUGUGUGUGUGUGUGUGUGUGUGUGUGUGCAUGAUUCUAUGUGCCCACAUGUAUGCAGGUACCUAUAGAGACCAAAGCUCCUGUUGUUUAGGGUUUUUAUUGCUUCGAUAAAACUCCAUGACCAAAAAGCAA